This 468-nucleotide ribosomal RNA is filed under the name uncultured bacterium. Its description in RNAcentral is "partial 16S ribosomal RNA". It matches the Rfam family "Bacterial small subunit ribosomal RNA", at positions 28 to 507 of the family's 1533-position model. The record is from RNAcentral.
GACGAACGCUGGCGGCGUGCUUAACACAUGCAAGUCGAACGGAAAGGCCCUGCUUUUGUGGGGUGCUCGAGUGGCGAACGGGUGAGUAACACGUGAGUAACCUGCCCUUGACUUUGGGAUAACUUCAGGAAACUGGGGCUAAUACCGGAUAGGAGCUCCUGCUGCAUGGUGGGGGUUGGAAAGUUUCGGCGGUUGGGGAUGGACUCGCGGCUUAUCAGCUUGUCGGUGGGGUAGUGGCUUACCAAGGCUUUGGCGGGUAGCCGGCCUGAGAGGGUGACCGGCCACAUUGGGACUGAGAUACGGCCCAGACUCCUACGGGAGGCAGCAGUGGGGAAUAUUGCACAAUGGGCGGAAGCCUGAUGCAGCAACGCCGCGUGCGGGAUGACGGCCUUCGGGUUGUAAACCGCUUUCGCCUGUGACGAAGCGUGAGUGACGGUAAUGGGUAAAGAAGCACCGGCUAACUACGUG